Molecule: ribosomal RNA, 2932 nt
Filed under: Proteus mirabilis
Lineage: Bacteria; Pseudomonadati; Pseudomonadota; Gammaproteobacteria; Enterobacterales; Morganellaceae
Description: 23S ribosomal RNA
Rfam family: Bacterial large subunit ribosomal RNA
Source: RNAcentral
GGGUUGUGAGGUUAAGCGAAUAAGCGUACACGGUGGAUGCCUAGGCAAUCAGAGGCGAUGAAGGACGUGCUAAUCUGCGAAAAGCGUCGGUAAGGUGAUAUGAACCGUUAUACCCGACGAUAUCCGAAUGGGGAAACCCAGUAUCCAAUGGAUACUAUCAUUAACUGAAUCCAUAGGUUAAUGAGGCGAACCGGGAGAACUGAAACAUCUCAGUACCCCGAGGAAAAGAAAUCAACCGAGAUUCCCCUAGUAGCGGCGAGCGAACGGGGAGCAGCCCAGAGUCUUAAUCAAUAGCAGUGUCAGGAGAACGGUCUGGAAAGUCCGGCAGUAAAGGGUGAUAGCCCCGUAUCUGAAGAUGCUGUUAUUGUGAACUCGACGAGUAGGGCGGGACACGUGUUAUCCUGUCUGAAUAUGGGGGGACCAUCCUCCAAGGCUAAAUACUCCUGAUUGACCGAUAGUGAACCAGUACCGUGAGGGAAAGGCGAAAAGAACCCCGGCGAGGGGAGUGAAAAAGAACCUGAAACCGUGUACGUACAAGCAGUAGGAGCCUCUUUAUGGGGUGACUGCGUACCUUUUGUAUAAUGGGUCAGCGACUUAUAUUCUGUAGCAAGGUUAACCGUAUAGGGGAGCCGUAGGGAAACCGAGUCUUAACUGGGCGAAUGAGUUGCAGGGUAUAGACCCGAAACCCGGUGAUCUAUCCAUGGGCAGGUUGAAGGUUGGGUAACACUAACUGGAGGACCGAACCGACUAAUGUUGAAAAAUUAGCGGAUGACUUGUGGAUGGGGGUGAAAGGCCAAUCAAACCGGGAGAUAGCUGGUUCUCCCCGAAAGCUAUUUAGGUAGCGCCUCGUGAACUCAUCUUCGGGGGUAGAGCACUGUUUCGACUAGGGGGUCAUCCCGACUUACCAACUCGAUGCAAACUGCGAAUACCGAAGAAUGUUAUCACGGGAGACACACGGCGGGUGCUAACGUCCGUCGUGAAGAGGGAAACAACCCAGACCGCCAGCUAAGGUCCCAAAGUCAUGGUUAAGUGGGAAACGAAGUGGGAAGGCUCAGACAGCCAGGAUGUUGGCUUAGAAGCAGCCAUCAUUUAAAGAAAGCGUAAUAGCUCACUGGUCGAGUCGGCCCGCGCGGAAGAUGUAACGGGGCUAAACCAUGCACCGAAGCUGCGGCAGCGACACAUAGUGUUGUUGGGUAGGGGAGCGUUCUGUAAGCCUGCGAAGGUGUACUGUGAGGUAUGCUGGAGGUAUCAGAAGUGCGAAUGCUGACAUAAGUAACGAUAAUGCGGGUGAAAAACCCGCACGCCGGAAGACCAAGGGUUCCUGUCCAACGUUAAUCGGGGCAGGGUGAGUCGACCCCUAAGGCGAGGCUGAAAAGCGUAGUCGAUGGGAAACGGGUUAAUAUUCCCGUACUGGUGGUAACUGCGAUGGGGGAACGGAGAAGGCUAGGUUGUCCGGGCGACGGUCGUCCCGGUUCAAGCAGGUAGGCAGAGUGAUUAGGCAAAUCCGGUCACUUAAUGCUGAGAUGUGAUGACGAACCACCAAGGUGGUGAAGCAAUUGAUGCCCCGCUUCCAGGAAAAGCCUCUAAGCUUCAGGUUACCAACAAUCGUACCCCAAACCGACACAGGUGGUCAGGUAGAGAAUACUCAGGCGCUUGAGAGAACUCGGGUGAAGGAACUAGGCAAAAUGGUGCCGUAACUUCGGGAGAAGGCACGCUGGCGGUAGGUAAAGUCCCUCGCGGACGGCGCCCAAGCCAGUCGAAGAUACCAGCUGGCUGCAACUGUUUAUUAAAAACACAGCACUGUGCAAACACGAAAGUGGACGUAUACGGUGUGACGCCUGCCCGGUGCUGGAAGGUUAAUUGAUGGGGUCAGCCGUAAGGCGAAGCUCCUGAUCGAAGCCCCAGUAAACGGCGGCCGUAACUAUAACGGUCCUAAGGUAGCGAAAUUCCUUGUCGGGUAAGUUCCGACCUGCACGAAUGGCGUAAUGAUGGCCAGGCUGUCUCCACCCGAGACUCAGUGAAAUUGAACUCGCUGUGAAGAUGCAGUGUACCCGCGGCAAGACGGAAAGACCCCGUGAACCUUUACUAUAGCUUGACACUGAACAUUGAGCCUUGAUGUGUAGGAUAGGUGGGAGGCUUUGAAGUGUGGACGCCAGUCUGCAUGGAGCCAACCUUGAAAUACCACCCUUUAACGUUUGAUGUUCUAACCUAGGCCCAUAAACUGGGUCGGGGACCGUGUCUGGUGGGUAGUUUGACUGGGGCGGUCUCCUCCUAAAGAGUAACGGAGGAGCACGAAGGUUGGCUAAGCAUGGUCGGACAUCAUGCGGUUAGUGCAAAGGCAUAAGCCAGCUUGACUGCGAGAGUGACGGCUCGAGCAGGUACGAAAGUAGGUCUUAGUGAUCCGGUGGUUCUGAAUGGAAGGGCCAUCGCUCAACGGAUAAAAGGUACUCCGGGGAUAACAGGCUGAUACCGCCCAAGAGUUCAUAUCGACGGCGGUGUUUGGCACCUCGAUGUCGGCUCAUCACAUCCUGGGGCUGAAGUAGGUCCCAAGGGUAUGGCUGUUCGCCAUUUAAAGUGGUACGCGAGCUGGGUUUAGAACGUCGUGAGACAGUUCGGUCCCUAUCUGCCGUGGGCGUUGGAAGAUUGAGAGGGGUUGCUCCUAGUACGAGAGGACCGGAGUGAACGCACCACUGGUGUUCGGGUUGUCAUGCCAAUGGCAUUGCCCGGUAGCUAAGUGCGGAAGAGAUAACCGCUGAAAGCAUCUAAGCGGGAAACUUGCCUCGAGAUGAGUCUUCCCUGUCGCUUUAAGCGACCUAAAGGAACGUUUAAGACUAAGACGUUGAUAGGCUGGGUGUGUAAGCGUAGCGAUACGUUGAGCUAACCAGUACUAAUGAACCGUGAGGCUUAACCUGACAACACCGAAAGUGUUUUG